CUUUUAGUCUGCACCCUGUGAGAAUUGCCACGGAAAUGAUCCAGAAGAAGAUUUGGUGUUGAUGGAGGAGGCAACAUCUUCAAGGCAAAACCUUAGACCUCAUUCAACAUCAUCCAAUGUUGCAAUCACCCUCAGGAGUGAGGAGGAUGUGAUUGGUCAUGCAGCAGCACAGAUAAACACCACAAAGACAUCUGAAAUCUGUCACGAGAUAACACGUCUGAAGUUGUAGAAACGUCAAAAACAGGAAGCCCCAUCUGUCCCUUGAAAAUCACCUUCCUUUG
Long non-coding RNA from Sinocyclocheilus grahami, 281 nucleotides. RefSeq lists it as uncharacterized. The record is from RefSeq and is a predicted model, not a curated record. NCBI's taxonomy places the organism in Eukaryota, Metazoa, Chordata, Actinopteri, Cypriniformes, Cyprinidae. The transcript has 3 exons.